Molecule: long non-coding RNA, 568 nt
Filed under: Triticum aestivum (bread wheat)
Lineage: Eukaryota; Viridiplantae; Streptophyta; Magnoliopsida; Poales; Poaceae
Description: long non-coding RNA (TAES_LNC025146)
Source: RNAcentral
UAGCUUGCACUCAGCCUUGCGAGAUCUUGAAACUAUCGAUAGGCUGGAAGACUGGUUCUAAGGUAAGACUUGCUGCCGUACCUCAGAGAGCUUCGGACCUUAGUUUCAUAACUACAGUGGAAUGAAUUGUGAUGAUUUAUAGGCUAGCAUGUCGGAAAACAAUUAGAGUUAAGAUGGAUUUGACAACCACAAAUAAUUAGCUGGUUGAUCAAUCUGUAUCUAACUGUAUGUUGUAACUAAAUGCAACAUUUUCAGUAGUAGUUCGGUGUGGAGUCUACUAUGCAGAUUGGCAACCGGAAAGAAAAUUAAAGAACAGAAUGCCAGAUGAUUAAGAAUUUAGACCUUAAUACUUGGCGCUAGCGCUCAAGCUGUAUUUGGAUAGUUAUAUUAUGCUAAAUUAUUGAAAAUGUAAAUGGCAGCCCACUAGUGAUAAAUUCCGUGAGCCUUGUCCUACUUUCAAAGCAUGUUAUCAUACCUUGUGCAUCCAUUUUCAGCUUUCGGUUUCUGAUAGUCUCAAGGAAUAUCCUAGUGUUUUUUGUGGACCUCUGGCGCUGAGUUUGUCUAAUAC